ACGGUGGAUGCCUUGGCAGCCAGAGGCGAUGAAGGACGUUGUAGCUUGCGAUAAGCUUCGGGGAGGUAGCAAACAACCUUUGAUCCGGAGAUUUCCGAAUGGGGAAACCCACCUGUCAUAAGGCAGGUAUCGCAUACUGAAUACAUAGGUAUGCGAGGCGAACGCGGGGAACUGAAACAUCUAAGUACCCGCAGGAACAGAAAAUAAGAAUGAUUCCCCAAGUAGUGGCGAGCGAACGGGGACGAGCCCAAACCGGGUUGGUUACGGCCAGCGCGGGGUUGUAGGACUGCAACAUCUGAUUGAGUACUCUUAGCUGAAUGACGUGGGAAAGUCAACCAGAGACGGUGAGAGUCCGGUAAGCGAGCAGAGUAGUCACAGUAGCAGACUCCUGAGUAAGGCGGGACCAGCGAAAUCCCGUCUGAAUCCGGCGGUACCAUCCGCCAAGGCUACAUACUCCUGAGAGACCGAUAGUGAACUAGUACCGUGAGGGAAAGGUGAAAAGAA
This 504-nucleotide ribosomal RNA is filed under the name Symbiodinium sp. Mp. RNAcentral's name for it is "partial Bacterial large subunit ribosomal RNA". It matches the Rfam family "Bacterial large subunit ribosomal RNA", at positions 22 to 523 of the family's 2925-position model. The record is from RNAcentral. Lineage: Eukaryota; Dinophyceae; Suessiales; Symbiodiniaceae.